Molecule: long non-coding RNA, 709 nt
Filed under: Homo sapiens (human)
Lineage: Eukaryota; Metazoa; Chordata; Mammalia; Primates; Hominidae
Description: HSALNT0206093
Source: RNAcentral
AAAAAACUGAUCUACAAUCCAUAUUCCUUCCCUUUUCUUACUUGAUUAUACCUGGGAGAAUAAGACUUAAGUGUCUAUUCCUAACGCUGCAGGAGUAUGAAGCUUAUUCAUAGCUGAGAGCAUAGAGAGCAGCUCAGACAAACCCAGGCAGGAUCACUUCAGAAUGCCUUUUGGAAGAUGCUUUGCCAUACGCAGGAGUAUGAAGCUUAUCCAUAGCUGAGAGCAUAGAGAGCAGCUCAGACAAACCCAGGCAGGAUCGCCUUUUGGAAGAUGCUUUGCCAUACGCAGGAGUAUGAAGCUUAUCCAUAGCUGAGAGCAUAGAGAGCAGCUCAGACAAACCCAGGCAGGAUCACUUCAGAAUGACUUUUGGAAGAUGCUUUGCCAUACAGGGAGUGGCAGUCUUUAGAAGAGGGUUUCUGGAAGGAUCACAGAAAUGCGACCACAGAAGUGCAAAGUCUCCGGUCAUCAAGCUCUCAGAGUGUUCUCUGCAACAAUGUGACAGGGUAUAAUGAUUCUAUAAAUACUGAUCUCCAGCUCACCCAUCUGCCAAGGAAAUAUUUUCCCAGCAUCUGAAUUAAGUGGAGAACUGCUUAACUAAAGGACAGAUGAAGCAAAUCAUCCAUCUUCAGCGAUCACUCAUGGCUUUGUUCAUGAAUGAUGGUUUCACCACACUGCCCAGGAUGGCCUUGAACUCCUGGGCUCAAGUGAU